This 490-nucleotide ribosomal RNA is filed under the name uncultured bacterium. Its description in RNAcentral is "partial 16S ribosomal RNA". It matches the Rfam family "Bacterial small subunit ribosomal RNA", at positions 29 to 507 of the family's 1533-position model. The record is from RNAcentral.
AAUGAACGCUGGCGGCAUGCCUUACACAUGCAAGUCGAACGGCAGCAUGACCUAGCUUGCUAGGUUGAUGGCGAGUGGCGAACGGGAGAGUAAUGCAUCGGAACGUGCCUCUUAGUGGGGGAUAACGUAGCGAAAGUUACGCCAAUACCGCAUAUUCCCUGAGGAGGAAAGCAGGGGACCUUCGGGCCUUACGCUAGAAGAGCGGCCGAUGUCGGUUUAGCUAGUUGGUGAGGUAAAGGCUCACCAAGGCAACGAUCCGUAGCGGGUCUGAGAGGAUGAUCCGCCACACUGGGACUGAGACACGGCCCAGACUCCUACGGGAGGCAGCGGUGGGGAAUUUUGGACAAUGGGCGCAAGCCUGAUCCAGCCAUGCCGCGUGAGUGAAGAAGGCCUUCGGGUUGUAAAGCUCUUUCGGCUGGGAAGAAAUCGCACCCUCUAAUACAGGGUGUGGAUGACGGUACCAGCAUAAGAAGCACCGGCUAACUACGUG